This is a non-coding RNA of Theobroma cacao (cacao), 117 nucleotides long. NCBI's taxonomy places the organism in Eukaryota, Viridiplantae, Streptophyta, Magnoliopsida, Malvales, Malvaceae. The record is from RefSeq and is a predicted model, not a curated record.
AUUCAAUAACGAAACCAAGUUGGUUCAUCUCGCACUUUGAACCUUGAGCUGUUUCUACUGGUUUGAUCCUUUUUUAAACAUCAGAGGGGAGAAGGAAGUUGCAUAUAUGGCAGCAAA